CCUACGGGAGGCAGCAGUGAGGAAUAUUGGUCAAUGGACGCAAGUCUGAACCAGCCAUGCCGCGUGCAGGAAGACGGCUCUAUGAGUUGUAAACUGCUUUUGUACGAGGGUAAACGCAGAUACGCGUAUCUGUCUGAAAGUCUCGCACGAAUAAGGAUCGGCUAACUCCGUGCCAGCAGCCGCGGUAAUACGGAGGAUUCAAGCGUUAUCCGGAUUUAGUGGGCGUAAAGGGUGCGUAGGCGGUCGGAUAAGUUAGAGGUGAAAUCCCGAGGCUCAACUUCGGAAUUGACUCUGAUACUGUUCGGCUAGAGAGUAGUUGCGGUAGGCGGAAUGUAUGGUGUAGCGGUGAAAUGCUUAGAGAUCAUACAGAACACCGGUUGCGAAGGCAGCUUACCAAGCUACUUCUGACGUUGAGGCACGAAAGCGUGGGGAGCAAACAGGAUUAGAUACCCCUGUAGUC
This 460-nucleotide ribosomal RNA is filed under the name uncultured bacterium. Its description in RNAcentral is "partial 16S ribosomal RNA". It matches the Rfam family "Bacterial small subunit ribosomal RNA", at positions 338 to 795 of the family's 1533-position model. The record is from RNAcentral.